AAAUGCAAGGUUGUGUCAAGUUCAUAUUACCUAGCUUGUUUUCUUUUAGUACUAUUUAAUUUAAAUUAAUUUCAUCAUUCUUAUCCCAAACCCACUCCAGCUUGCAGUAAUGGCACACUAAAAUGAAAUAUAUGUUACCAUCUUAUUCAAUAUUAAUAGUAAAAUCAACUCCAAGACUUAGGAGGAAUAGUAACCAAUUACAAGAGUAGUAUUUGAUAGAAUGAGAAAGGAGGCAGAGUAACGAAAUCAGAAAAGUAGCAGAACUAGAGAGAGAAGAGGAAAUCAGAAUUACAUCACACAAUCCACACCAUCAACACAUUUCCUUCUCUCUUAUACACCUCACCCUUCACACUUAUUCUCUUCACUUAGAGUUGGUUAUUUUAGGUUAUUUUUUGCCUAGUGCUUCUUCUCAACUCCUUGAUUUUUAGAUCGAGUUGGUUAUUUUAGGUUAUUUUUUGCCUAGUACUUCUUCUCAACUCCUUGAUUUUUAGAUCCUUAACUGCCUGGUUGCCUAGCUGUCCCAUUUUCCUAUUUUAUGCCUAGUCAUCACACAAUUCACACCCUCACAGCUCAACUGGAAUAACUGUCUCUGUCUCUGUGGUUCGCAUCUUGCUUCAUCUUUUUUCUUUUUAAAAAAAAAUUCAAACACUUCAUUUAACUUAACAACACUCUCUAG
This 676-nucleotide long non-coding RNA is filed under the name Glycine max (soybean). Its description in RNAcentral is "long non-coding RNA (GMAX_LNC001302)". The record is from RNAcentral. Lineage: Eukaryota; Viridiplantae; Streptophyta; Magnoliopsida; Fabales; Fabaceae.